Molecule: long non-coding RNA, 601 nt
Filed under: Rattus norvegicus (Norway rat)
Lineage: Eukaryota; Metazoa; Chordata; Mammalia; Rodentia; Muridae
Description: long non-coding RNA NONRATT026644
Source: RNAcentral
GUUGUAGGUGGAUUAAUAUUUUCCUGUUCAAACUAUUUCCAUGUGAUCCUCCAUGGUGGUGUUGGCAAGAAUGGAUCUACUAUUGCGGGCACCAGUGUCUUGUCACCUGGACUCCACAUAGGAUUAAUUAUUAUAUUGGCAAUAAUGAUCUAUAAAAAAUCUGCAACAAAUGUGUUUGAAAAACACCCUUGCCUUUAUACAUUAAUGUUUGGAUGUGUCUUUGCUAAAGUUGCACAAAAAUUGGUGAUAGCUCACAUGACAAAAAGUGAACUAUAUCUUCAAGACACUGUUUUUAUUGGGCCAGGUCUUUUAUUUUUAGACCAAUACUUUAAUAAUUUUAUAGAUGAAUAUGUUGUUCUAUGGAUAGCAAUGGUCAUUACUUCAUUUGAUAUGAUGAUAUACUUUAGUUCUUUGUGCCUGCAAAUUUCAAGACACCUUCAUCUAAGUAUCUUCAAGACUUCAUAUCAACAAGCACCUGAACAGGUUCAAGUUCUUUCUUCAAAGACUCAUCAGAAUAACAUGGAUUGAAGAGACUUUCGAACAUUUGCCAUCUCUUGCUGCUGCUGUUUCAUGAAAGGAGAUAUGAAACAUGUUUAAUUUU